AAGGUCACAAUCAACAUUCAUUGCUGUCGGUGGGUUUAACUGUAUGGACAAGCUCACUGAACAAUGAAUGCAACUGUGGCCCCACUU
Molecule: microRNA precursor, 87 nt
Organism: Monodelphis domestica (gray short-tailed opossum)
Lineage: Eukaryota; Metazoa; Chordata; Mammalia; Didelphimorphia; Didelphidae
Gene: mdo-mir-181b-1
Product: mdo-mir-181b-1
Source: Ensembl